Long non-coding RNA from Lutra lutra (Eurasian river otter), 1938 nucleotides. RefSeq lists it as uncharacterized. Lineage: Eukaryota; Metazoa; Chordata; Mammalia; Carnivora; Mustelidae. The transcript is spliced from 2 exons. The record is from RefSeq and is a predicted model, not a curated record.
UGGUUAUUCAAUGUCUUCAGGCCUCACAGGAUGAGGUAAUGGUAUGAUGGAUUUCUUCUCAGUGUCUCUGGAAAGUGCUUUCCUCAUAUCUGUUAGGAAGCAAAAUUUAAUGAGCACUAUGAAAAAAAAUCACUGGGAUGCAAAGGGCGAUGUUGACAGAGAAUUUGGGAACAUCUGCAACAGUGUCAAGAACACCAAAAAAAAACAAAAACAAAAACAAAAACAAAACAAAAAAAACAAACUUAAGGGCUAGUCUUGGAUUGCAUCUAUUACCCAGCAUAUAAGCCCAUGGCAGGUCACUUACUUUGCCUGAAUUUUCCUCAAUGGCAAAAUAGGGACAAUGCUACUACUCUGAAUAUGUGAAUACACAACUACUGAUGAAAAUGAAAAUCCUGCAAACUGAAGCACAAUAUUCAGCCUGAACAGAAAAAAAACUUAGACAUUUUCACCAUGAAAAAAAACCAAAUAGGGUGCAUAAAUUAUUACUUGAAAAGCAGGAUCUCACCUUUCUGAAAUCUCCUCUAAUAACUCCAUAAGUUUAGCAGCCAAACCAAGGCGUCGAAAUUCUGGGGCGACAGAGAGAGCAGUGACGUGCCCGUGCCAUUCUUCCCUAGCUACUGAGCCUUCUGCUUUACCCAUGACUGCCAAUAAAAGAUUGCACUAAUUAAACACAUGGAUUUAUACAUGAAUACAGAAUGACUGUUGGUACAUUUUUAUUAUAAAGGACACUAAUGAUGAAGUUUUAAUUUUUAAGUAACACGUAGUCAUCUAGCUAAUAGUUAUAGUGCUCUUAUUUGACUCUCACUUAGAGAAAAGUUUCUUUUUUUAAAGGAAUGAUACACUAAAAACAACUAAUUUUGAACACAAUCAGAAUAUCUAUUUUUUAAAAUAUCUACAUUUCAUGUAGGUAUGUAUGUGUACACAAAACUUGAGUCCACAGCUCAAAUUUUUGUUAGUAAUGCCACUAAUUCAAUGAAGAUUCUGUAAUUCCUGUGUUAUGUACCAAAAAACCAUGCAGAAAUAUAAGCACAGAAUGAAAGAUCCAUGAAGCCUGAGACCUUGUCUGUCUGUGUCCCCUGGGGCCUAGAGCACAAUGCCUAAAAUAUAGAAAGCAUGGGUGAGCUGUCAGUGGUUAAAGGAAAUAAAAUUCUAGGCAGCAUGAUUACAUUUCCACUUCUGCAAUCAAUCUAAAACAAUCAGUUGAAACCUACAUUAAACUCUCAACUGCCUACUCAAAAAAGUUCUAGUGGUAUUAUACUUACUAUAACCCAUUAACUCUCCACCAGGUGCCUCCGCAACAAUGAAGUACUCUGGCCAGUGGGCGAGGUACUGUAAGUAAAAAGGAAUCCCAUACUAGAGUCUCGUUAAGGAGUGUGGAAAGUGAAAAUACAAAGUUCUUCAUAAAAGAAACAUUGUGAAGAAAGGUUCCUUUGAAAAUAUAUUGUUACUUUAUCCCCAGCUCAAUAUAUGUGUGAUCUGUAUAUUCAUGUCAGUACAUUAUUUAGGUUAGCACUAAUAAUUGAUAACAAAAUUGCCUGAAUAUGUAAGUUCAAAAAUAGGAGUGGAGACAACACCAUCUGACAGCAGAGAACCAGGAGUCUGAAGUUCUAUCAUCUGUGUCCAUACUGAUCACAUUGUAUCUAAAUCUCUGCACAGCACUUACCAGCCAGCACUGGAUAUUGUUCACUCUCUCCCUCCCUUUUGGAUAUGAAUGUCAUGUUCACUCUAUCCCUGGUGCUGAGCACAAAGUAGAUGCUCAAUACAUUUGUUUUUCCAUAAUUGCACUAGAAAAUUAAUGAUUAGUUCCUACUUCAGCUGUGUGGCUGUGAAAAUAACUAAAAGUUAAGUAUUUCCAGAGUCAUCAAUUACCUAGUGUUUCCCCUGUACUGAUUCAAAUUCUCCCUUUCUGGUACUGCAAAUAAAUGCUGACUUAAGAGU